RNAcentral lists this non-coding RNA (24 nucleotides) under Arabidopsis thaliana (thale cress). Lineage: Eukaryota; Viridiplantae; Streptophyta; Magnoliopsida; Brassicales; Brassicaceae. The record is from RNAcentral.
ACCCCGGAGAGUGCCUCGCGCGGC